RNAcentral lists this ribosomal RNA (460 nucleotides) under uncultured bacterium. RNAcentral's name for it is "partial 16S ribosomal RNA". It matches the Rfam family "Bacterial small subunit ribosomal RNA", at positions 338 to 795 of the family's 1533-position model. The record is from RNAcentral.
CCUACGGGUGGCAGCAGUGAGGAAUAUUGGUCAAUGGACGCGAGUCUGAACCAGCCAAGUAGCGUGAAGGAUGACUGCCCUAUGGGUUGUAAACUUCUUUUAUAAAGGAAUAAAGUGUUCCACGUGUGGCUUUUUGUAUGUACUUAAUGAAUAAGGAUCGGCUAACUCCGUGCCAGCAGCCGCGGUAAUACGGAGGAUCCGAGCGUUAUCCGGAUUUAUUGGGUUUAAAGGGAGCGUAGGUGGGUUGUUAAGUCAGUUGUGAAAGUUUGCGGCUCAACCGUAAAAUUGCAGUUGAAACUGGCAGUCUUGAGUACAGUAGAGGUAGGCGGAAUUCGUGGUGUAGCGGUGAAAUGCUUAGAUAUCACGAAGAACUCCGAUUGCGAAGGCAGCUUACUGGACUGCAACUGACACUGAGGCUCGAAAGUGUGGGUAUCAAACAGGAUUAGAUACCCGGGUAGUC